GUGGUCGUAUGGCAAGGGCGAUUGGUGGAGGGAGGAAAAGAGUAGGGCGACUGCUUCCUUCUCUCGCAUCCGCUUUCUCGCCCGUGUCACCGUGCCGUCAGGAGGACUCCGACAGUGACGAUUCCAGCGAAGCAGCAGCGGAAGACGAACACAACAGAGACGCACAAGCAGGAGACCAACAGGCAGUGGCAAGUCUUCUCUAUGCCUUACAAGUUCCACGUGUACUAGCUUUUAGUGCAGGUCAGUCGCCAACAGGGGACAUCGACAAGCAUGUACGUCGCCAGACGCGUCUCUCUCCACCUGCAGGAUGAUUUUCCGUGGCACGGCCUUCCUCAGCCAAAUAAAUCUCUCGCCUUGUCAAGCAAAAGAUUAGUGAUCUCGUGCAAGAUCUAAAUGUUACCAGUGAUGAUGGCUCUACAGAAACGAACAACUGCGAGCACUCAGAUUCUUCAUUUACGAAAUGUUCAACCAAUUCGACCAUGUCAGAUGCAGUUUUGCUUGGAAGGGAGCUGGUAUAUUUGUAAUUGAUGUGUAUGAUGGCAUGUCUUCUGAAUGCAAGCUUCGUCUCAAUAGGAGAUCCUCCAACUUCAGUGUAUUGAAGUUUGACGGAUUGGAGAAUCAGAUGGUAGUCGCUGGAGAUGCAAGGAACUCCCAUGCUUGCAGCGAUGCACUUGGUGGGCAUUCCUUGCAUUUGUCCUGUAGAAUCACGCGGGUACAUGUAUUUAAUUAUAGCAAAGUCACCAUGUCUUUAUCAUGCCAGUAUGCCAAUGCCCAGAAAUUAGAUAACAGAGGGAAGUCACCAGCUCUGAAAGCAUACCAAAUAUUUCAGUUUUUAGGCCACUGCUCAAUUUUGAAGAGCUACUCCUUUGAACUAGAUAUGUGAGCUUUUUGUAAACUACAGGAUAUCAUAGUUUGCUAACUGGAAAAAGAACUCUUUGAUGUUGGGCAUAUCCUGUAGUACUUAAAUCAUUAUUUUUUUACACAUGU
Molecule: long non-coding RNA, 987 nt
Organism: Triticum dicoccoides
Lineage: Eukaryota; Viridiplantae; Streptophyta; Magnoliopsida; Poales; Poaceae
Exons: 4
Source: RefSeq, a predicted model, not a curated record